GAGAGAGAGAAAAAAAAGACAACAUUCCUAGUGAUCUUUCCGUGGGACUGCGGCAAGGAGGCAGCAGGCACAGUGAAACUGGGCGGCGAUGGAUACUCCCAGCACUUGCUGAGCACUGCUACGCCUCAGGACUGGGACAGAGAGAACCAUUCUCUGCUUUCAAUAGGACAGAAGAGCUCCUUGGCACUGGAUGCCUCCGGGUCUGGUUGAGAGAGGAAUGGUUAGGAGACUGUUCUGAGGAUACGCAGACAUCAUCCAAAGCUUCCUACAUUCAGAUGAGGACAGAGGUUGGGCCAGAGCUUUGUAUGCUUGUUACCUAAGGAUGGUUCUGACCAUGUAAGCAGAUCACAGAAGGACUUUUUGAUCCUGCAGAAAUGCAGAUGAGGCUCAAGAAAAAGUGUCAUAAAGAUUAAUGAGGGCCAUGGCUGGAAGAGGACCUGGGAUUUACGUCAUCAGCACCCAGAUAUUGCUGGAGGCAAAGGAUGCCAAGAUGGGAAAGCCACAUAAUGGAAGGAUCCUGGAUUUCAGAGCUGUCACUUGGAGGAGGGGCACCCAGUGAAGGUGUCUUAUCUAACCCACACCAUAUCUUCAUGAAGUGGCCAUAUGGAUUUGAUCCCUAUCCUUCAGAGGUGCUCAGCCUAAGGGAACACGGAUAGUAGAUUAAGCACUGACCAG
RNAcentral lists this non-coding RNA (675 nucleotides) under Pan troglodytes (chimpanzee). Lineage: Eukaryota; Metazoa; Chordata; Mammalia; Primates; Hominidae. The record is from RNAcentral.